This 86-nucleotide transfer RNA is filed under the name Romboutsia ilealis. RNAcentral's name for it is "Leu". It matches the Rfam family "tRNA". Rfam says of the family: Transfer RNA (tRNA) molecules are approximately 80 nucleotides in length. RNAcentral also lists the same sequence under 1 other name. Lineage: Bacteria; Bacillati; Bacillota; Clostridia; Peptostreptococcales; Peptostreptococcaceae. The record is from RNAcentral.
GCCGGAUUGGUGGAAUGGCAGACACGACGGACUCAAAAUCCGUUUCUAGUUAUAGAGUGUGGGUUCGAGUCCCACAUCCGGCACCA